This is a non-coding RNA of Styela clava, 397 nucleotides long. The record is from RefSeq and is a predicted model, not a curated record. Lineage: Eukaryota; Metazoa; Chordata; Ascidiacea; Stolidobranchia; Styelidae.
GGUAUCUGGAAUGAAAUGUAGCAACGAUAUUAUUCCGUGCAAAUGUCGCCACAAAGGCAAAACAUUAUGGGAAAAGGCUUAUGUUUGGGUAAAGAUCGCUGGGAAAUUGGAAGUAAAAAAACGCUGGAUCAGAUUCACGAUCCCAGAUGGAUGCAUGUGUGCAGUGGUUAAUGUCCCUCACAGAUAAAUCAGCUUUCCUUUCAAUUGCUGGCAAAAAUGAGAACAUUUAAUUAUGAUUUGACACAUUGGUGCUUAUAAUGUUUUUUUUUUGGCUUUCUCUUAUCGUUUGUUCAAAAAUAAUGUAAUGCAUUGUUAUUCUAAACUAUAAAAAUUAAACUGCUAGAGACUAAUUUUGAAUAUUAUGAUAAUAAAAUAAAUUGUAUUCCGGACAACAUUG